CGAUCGGAAAAGGUACCUGUUACAAGUCUGUGAGCGGAGAAACAAAAGCCCCGCCGCGGACACCCUCCCACUAACUGGUCUUAAUGGUAGGUUUAAUUUCCUCGGCUCCCUGAAAGGAAGGGCAGGACCGCCGCGGAAGGAGCCCGGCUGCGGGUAGUGGCGGCGGUGGGGAAACGACAGCUGUCGUAUUCAUGGUUAAUCAGGUGUGUCUGUCUUUGUGUCGCAUCUGUCUGCUACUGUUGCUGGGCCACAUGUGAAAGGGAGGGGGCCCUGCGUGUUCAAAGGCAGCAGCCUGACCUCUGCUUCGUCCUCCUCGGGGCGGGCAGCGUGUCUAUUUAACUUUCCCCAUUCUAGGAAGCUGUAAUUCUACUCCAUUAGCCCACCCUCGCCAUUUUGGCCUGACAGCCGCAAGCUGCAUCCAGAACGCCGUAAAUCUGCCCCAAGAAGGAGGCCUCUCCCUCCCGCUGCUUUUCCUGGGGAUGCCCUUCAGUCUCUCCGGCCGGAGAAAACCAGAAAGAGAGAGAAACACGAGAACACAGGGCGUCUUGGGCCGCCUCCCACCUGAAAUUGACCUGGACGCCGAAGGUCCGUUUUCCCUCCUGAGCUCGGGGCCCCAGGGCUUCCUGACGCCACGACCAGGACCCAGGACCAGGACGGCCCUUUGCUCCAGAUCCGCUUGUCUCACACACGCGGGUGUUUGCAUCAGAGCUUAGUCAUCCCCCUGGAGCCCUGUCCUCCUCCAGCGUCCCUGCAGCCCCAGCCUCUUCUCUGCCCAGGCCCAGGGGGCGAGGGCGGAGCGAGGGGGAGGCUCUGGCUUCUCUUUGGCACCUUCCACAGCCCAGCCCAGCCCAGCCCAGCCAGACAUGGCUGAGCAGCCAGAAUGGGAACAAGCCCACCAUCCACCUCCCAGCGCAUGAGGCUGUAUUAAGGCUCAGUGUCCACAAGUCUCCAGUGGGAGGGAGGCUCCAACUGACCCCUCCUACCAGUGGUCCUGGGGGCUCCACCUCACCCCUUUGAAAGUCCUUUGCUUCCAGCCCUUCUGUUUCCAGCCCUUGUGUUUCUUGGAGUAAAUGGUAGUCAUCAGCCUUUUCCAGGCCAAGGAACUCUCACUCAGAUUUUGAUUUUCCUUGAGAGUCAGCCAGGGUUCAGCAGAGUUUGCCACUUGCAAAUCUAUUUUUGUUUAAGCUACUUCUCAGUACAGGCACAAACUUUCACUCCAUCGUGUUAAUUUUUCUUAUGAGAAGGCUGGAGUCAGGCUCUACUGACCUGGUGCUUUUGGUGUGUGUGUGUGUGUGUGUGUGUGUGUGUAGAUCCAGCUGAGUUUCUUUCAUCCAUGAGCCUGUAUGGGCUGCCAGGGCUGAAUGAUUAACCUGCAACUUUGGGUUCAGGAAGCUCUUGUUUCCUUGAUACUGAAGGAAUUUGGGAAGCCAUCCUGUUGCCUUGUGUGCUGCCAUUUUCCUCUGCUACUGCCUGGAUCUCCAAAUUUCGGUGAAGUCAGUAGGUAAAUAUGAAGCUCUCACUAGAAGCCUAGCAUUCUGCUAGACUCUUGUGAGGCCUUGAAGAACAUAUCAUCUUUGAGAGACCAAGGAUUGUAUGAAUAAAGGAAUAAAUAACAAAAUAAGAUUGAAAAAGUUUUAAUAACUUAAAUCAAAGUCUAACAUACAUGAAGGAAAAUGCACAAAUCCUAAACAUACAGCUUGAUGAAUUAUCACAACUAAACACACUCCUGUUACCACCGUCCAGAGCAAGAAACACAACUCUGGGCAUUUCCCUGGUGGCCCAGUGGGUUAAAGAUACAGCAUUGUCACAGCUGUGGCUCAGGUCACUGCUGUGGCAUGGAUUCAAUCCCUGGCCCAGGAACUUGCCAAAAACAAACAUUUUAAAAAGAAACGCAAUGUUAUUGCAGCUGGAAGCUUCUUAAUGUUCUAGGCAUAUGGGAACUUUGCAGUGUCUAAAACUUCUCUCCUGCAACACAGUUUGGAACUGAGAUUACGUUCUUAAUUACGUGGCUAUCGACGUUCAGCAAUGGGAAGGUUCCCACUGGCUGGAAGGGAUUUGCUCAGGGAGAUUUUGAAUGUGACCUGGGUUCUUUCUGAGCUUGGACUUUGGAGAGCCCAGGUUGGCUGGAUGUGUGGUGCUCAUGGCUCCAAGGAAGGACGUGGAAGAUUCUGGCAUCUUUUUAAAGAAACUGUGGUAAAGUAUACGUAAUAUGAAAUUUACCGUCUUACCCGUUUUUGCGUGUACAGCUCAUAGUGUUACUGACACUCAGAUCGCUUCUCAGCCAGCCCCCGGAACUCUUUUCAUCCUGCGGAUGGAAACUCUGUGUUGGCUGAACAGUAGCUCCCAGUCCCCUCUCUCCUCAGUCCCCGGCAACCACCGUUUUCCUUUCUGUCUCUACAGACUUGACUGCCCUUGGUACCUCGUAUCAGUGGAAUCCUACAGCGUUUGUCCUCUUGUGACAGGCUGAUGUCUUCGAGGUUCAUCCGUGCUGUAGGGCACUCAGGAUGUCCUCCCUCCUUGGGCCGAGUCCGGCUCCACUGUGGGCCUGGGCCGUGCUCAGUCAGCCCCUCAGCUGCGCGUGAGCAGGUGAGCCCCUCCUGCGUUCUUCUUCCGUGAGACUGCCGUGCACGAUGCUGCUGGAAUGUGGAUGUGCAACGAUCAUUUCAAGACCCUGCUUUCAGUCAUUUGGGGCACAUACUAAAAAGCAGAACUGUCACAUCACAGGGCGGUUUUGUUUUGAAGUUUCGGAGGAAUAGCCGUACUGUCCUCUGUAGCAGCAACACCGUUGCGGCAGCAGGUUCACUGGACCCUUUGCGCCUGCACGGCCUCUGGGGCAGCGUUACAGGGAGGGGGACGCAAGGGCUGGGUGUGCAGGGGGUGCUGGCGUAGGGGGGGUGCUCUGGACUCUGGAGGCUCUGGUCCCGGGGACUUGAGGGUGGAUGAGGCAGGAGAAGCUGGGGCCACAGCCGUUCCAUGGUUUACCCUGGAGACUCCAGUGAACAGAGUGGGAGUGAUUUAUUUUCCACAAAGAGAGAUGACUUUGUCUUAAUUUGUGGGAGAAUGGAGGGCCAGGGGGUUCCUGAUGACAAGGUACUAUUCAGAGACCUAACUCUGUUCAGCGUUAUCUCCUCCAGAUUUUAUGGGGCUUUAGGUAAAGGUGUUGGUGAGGAAGAGGGAGGGACAUGGCAGCAAUGGCACCAGUCUCUCUAUCCAGUAGAGACGGGGCAGGCAGGGGUGCUACCUGAAAAAAAAGCUGGUCCUUGGAGAGUUCCUGUUGUGGCUCAGUGGUAAGGAACCCAGCUACUAUCUAUGAGGCUGGAGGUUUGAUCCCUGGCCUCACUCAGUGGAUUAGGGAUCCAGCGUUGCCAUGAGCUCUGGUGUAGGUUGCAGACUCAGCUCAGAUCUGGCAUUGCUGCGACUAUGGCAUAGGCCAGUUGCCGAAGCUCCUAUUCGACCCCUAGCCUGGGAACCUCCAUGUGCCCCAUGUGUGGCCCCCCAAAAAAAGACAAAAAGAAAAAAGCUGGUCCUUGGAAAUACAAGUGCUGAACCCUAAUGCCAGAAAAACCCUUGUGUUGGAUAUUCAGAAACUUUUUCUAGCAAAUUUUAAGUGUUUCUGUGUUCUAAAUCUUGAUGCUUUUUUGCCAGCCUAGCCAUCAACAUGUGUUUGAAGUGGGCAUUCUGUGGGUCACGUGGGUAGGGAUCUUCAGGACUCAGAUAUGGGGAUUCAUUAUUAUCAAAAAGAAUAUACAUAAAAGAUUUGCUUCUUCCAAAUCCAUUAGCGUUGGACAUCUCCCAUUUUAUCAUAAAAACAAAGCAAAACAAAACCCACAAUUAGUCACGGUACAUAUUUGUUCUUAAUCUUAAGUCAUGUAUGGCUGGGAGUUCCUAUCAUGGCUUAGUGGUUAAAGAACCCAAUUAAGAUCUGUGAGGAUGGGGGUUCGAUCCCUGGCCUCGCUUAGUGGGUUAAGGAUCCGGUGUUGCUGUGAGCUCUGGUGUAGGUUGCAGAUGGAGCCUGGAUCCCGCAUUGCUGUGGCUGUGGUGUAGGCCAGUAGCUCCAAUUCUGUCCCUAGCCUGGGAACUUCCUUAUGCUGCAGGUGCAGGCCUAAAAAGCAAAACAAAACAAAACAAAGUAUUGUAUGGUUACCACCUAAAGUGUCUAAAGGAAAAAAAUAAAUGCCCUACCCCAAAGGGGAACUGUUAUUUAACAGUUUGUCUUUCUUUUCUUCCAGAACGUUCUACAUACAUUAAGCACAAACAUAUCUGUGUUUCUAUGCAUGCAAAUAAAUGCCUGAGAUAGCUCAGUCUAGUUUCUACUAGUCCAAACAUUACUAAUAUCGAUGCACAGGUAAUAAUGCACAAUAAAUGCUUUACCAUGCUAAGCUGCUGUCACAUAUUGUUGAAGCUCAACCACAUUAUUUAAAAUCAGUAUUAUUCUCAUUUAACAGAAAAGAGGUUGAAAAGAUUAAGACACUUGUCCAAAUGCACACAACAUGUUGGAAGUGGAAUUGGGACAAGAAUCCAGGUCUUUGAAAUAAAUUCCAGUCCACCCGUCCUUCUCCUCCACCAUCACUGGCGGCCAGAUAUCACCUUACAGAAAGGUUCAGAGAAGCUACCAAGUCACCAUCUUCAUAAAACUUGCUAAUCUUGAUCUCUCCUCGGUGUCAGUUUAUAUAUUUAUUUAUUUAUCUUGGCUGCACCUGCGACAUGUGGACAUUCUCUGGUCAAGGGUCAAACCCACACCACAGCAGUGAUCCGAGCCGCAGAAAUGACCACUCUGGAACCUUAAUCUGCUGAGCCACUGGGGAACUCCUCCAUGGUGUCAAUUUAGAAAUCUUUAAUCUUACACUUGUGCGUGCACUGAACUCAUUUAUAUAUAAAUAAAAUAAGAAUAGAGUUUAUUGAAAUAGACAUUAAUAGAAUCUUAGGGAAGACAACUCUUAGAAAAAAUGUUUAGUAUUCAUGGUGUGUGUGCAGCAGCUUAUUUAAAAAGUUGUUUUGAUAAGGUACGUGCCUUGAACGCCUACUAUAGGGAUUUAGAAGACGUAAAAUAGUGUAAUCUUCUUGCCCAACUGAGUUUUAGGUCAAACGGCAAAAAGGUGUUGAUCUGCCUCCUUGAUAUAGAAUGAUAACUUUUUUUCUUGCUGAGUUUUUUUAAAGUACAUUAGUUAAUUAAGAACCAUUUAUCUAGAGAUAUGUUUUCUUUCUUAUCAAGUACACACUGAGAACGUGGCCAUAGAUGUUACAUAGCAACAGAAAUGCCUCUGUGAUUUUGGAGGUGAAUUCUUUUAAUUUUCUUUUUUUAACCUCACAGUUGCUGUAUAGGGAAUUAUUGAUAGUUCAUGUUUUAUUUCCUUUUGUUAUAAAAUCUUCAUAGUUUGCAAAAAUAAAACUUAAGAGCUGUGUGUCCUUUAUUUCCUACUCCCUGUGAGAAAUGUUAAGAUAGAGAGAGAAGAUUCAGUGAUGGCUUUUGUUGGUGGAGAAAAUGCGGCUGGAAACUGGUAGAUAGGAGUGAGGAAGAAAAAAUUUCUUUAGUACUGUACUAGAUUCAGCUGUAGAGGAGACAGAAAUAUAACAAUGGCCUAGAAAAGGUAACCCGUAUUUCUCUCUUAAAUAAAAGAUGUUCAGAAUUAGCAGUCCAGGGCUGGUAGAGUUCCUCCAUGAGGUUUUCAGAUGUUCAGUUUCCUUCUAGUUCAUUAGCCUGUCAUUCUUAGAAAGCAACUUUUGUCUUUAUGGUCUUUAUUGUCCAAGAUGGCUGCUAGAGCUCCAGCCAUCAUAUUUGUAUUCUUUAAAAGAGGAAGAACAUCCCAGAAAUUCCAUACAGUACUUCAGCUUGUGUCUUAUUAUCUAAAACCUAAUUAUUUGGUCACUUAGCUGCAGGGUAGGCUGGGGAAUAUGGUAUUUAUUGUGGAUGGAAGUAAGCUGGAAUGAAAAUUGAUAUUCUCUUAUUUAAAAGGGAGGAGUGGAUAUUGAGAGGAAACUCAUAUUCUUUGACACAGUUCAUCCAUUUUGCUCCCCUCCCCCUCGCUCCCAAUACCCCUGCGUACCUGUCUUCUGCCUUCUUGUUACCUGGGUUAUCAUGAUAAUUUCUUGAGCUUCAGAACCAUCCUGCACCAAGAUGCAAACUUGGGAAUGAAUGCCACGCCCAGCAGAGCAAUAAGAUUCAAGUCACGUGAGUCCCCUGGCACUGUUUUGAUUAAGCCUUUUUUGUUAAGAUUUUGAUAGUUGUGUCUGGGCUUCAAUCUUAACUGAUACAAGUGUAAUAUAAACUUGGAAAGUGGCUUUCUCGUUAAGAUCAUAGCGAGUUUUGCCUGCCAGUGCAGAUGAACUGACCCUCCACCCAUCCAUCCCGGGCUGCUCUGUGCCCAGCACCAGGGAUACGAAGCUGGCUAAGACAUAGACGUACCUGGAGGAGCUCACACUCCAGCAAGGGACACACAAACCAACACCGUAAAAGCACUGCAGUUGCUUUAGUAGAAACCUGUAUGAAGUAGAGUGGAGCCCAGGGAUAUUUGUA
Molecule: long non-coding RNA, 6514 nt
Filed under: Sus scrofa (pig)
Lineage: Eukaryota; Metazoa; Chordata; Mammalia; Artiodactyla; Suidae
Description: lncRNA (ENSSSCG00055017089.1)
Source: RNAcentral